UACGGGGGGGGCAAGCGUUGUUCGGAAUUACUGGGCGUAAAGGGCUCGUAGGUGGCCAACUAAGUCAGACGUGAAAUCCCUCAGCUUAACUGGGGAACUGCGUCUGAUACUGGAUGGCUUGGAUUCGGGAGAGGAAUGCGGAAUUCCAGGUGUAGCGGUGAAAUGCGUAGAUAUCUGGAGGAACACCGGUAGCGAAGGCGGCAUUCUGGACCGACAUUGACGCUGAGGAGCGAAAGCCAGGGGAGCAAACGGG
RNAcentral lists this ribosomal RNA (253 nucleotides) under uncultured bacterium. Its description in RNAcentral is "partial 16S ribosomal RNA". It matches the Rfam family "Bacterial small subunit ribosomal RNA", at positions 524 to 776 of the family's 1533-position model. The record is from RNAcentral.